This 536-nucleotide ribosomal RNA is filed under the name uncultured archaeon. RNAcentral describes it as "bacterial SSU rRNA". It matches the Rfam family "Archaeal small subunit ribosomal RNA", at positions 460 to 997 of the family's 1478-position model. The record is from RNAcentral.
AGCCGCCGCGGUAACACCGGCGGCCCGAGUGGUGAUCGUGAUUAUUGGGUCUAAGGGUCCGUAGCCGGUUGGUCAGUCCUCCGGGAAAUCUGAUAGCUCAACUAUUAGGCUUUCGGGGGAUACUGCCAGACUUGGAACCGGGAGAGGUAAGAGGUACUACAGGGGUAGGAGUGAAAUCUUGUAAUCCCUGUGGGACCACCUGUGGCGAAGGCGUCUUACCAGAACGGGUUCGACGGUGAGGGACGAAAGCUGGGGGCACGAACCGGAUUAGAUACCCGGGUAGUCCCAGCCGUAAACGAUGCUCGCUAGGUGUCAGGCAUGGCGCGACCGUGUCUGGUGCCGCAGGGAAGCCGUGAAGCGAGCCACCUGGGAAGUACGGCCGCAAGGCUGAAACUUAAAGGAAUUGGCGGGGGAGCACAACAACGGGUGGAGCCUGCGGUUUAAUUGGAUUCAACGCCGGAGAUCUCACCAGCGGCGACAGCAGUAUGAUGACCAGGUUGAUGACUUUGUUUGACAAGCUGAGUAGAGGUGCAUGG